Molecule: ribosomal RNA, 83 nt
Filed under: Pseudomonas syringae
Lineage: Bacteria; Pseudomonadati; Pseudomonadota; Gammaproteobacteria; Pseudomonadales; Pseudomonadaceae
Also listed under: 4 other names
Description: partial 23S ribosomal RNA
Rfam family: Bacterial large subunit ribosomal RNA
Source: RNAcentral
GACUACGACGUUGAUAGGUUGGGUGUGUAAGCGCUGUGAGGCGUUGAGCUAACCAAUACUAAUUGCCCGUGAGGCUUGACCAU